UAGGGAAUAUUGGGCAAUGGGGGGGAACCCGUGACCCAGCAACGCCGCGUGAGGGAAGAAGGUUUUCGGAUUGUAAACCUCUGUCCUAUGUGACGAAGGAAGUGACGGUAGCAUAGGAGGAAGCCCCGGCUAACUACGUGCC
This 142-nucleotide ribosomal RNA is filed under the name uncultured bacterium. RNAcentral describes it as "partial 16S ribosomal RNA". It matches the Rfam family "Bacterial small subunit ribosomal RNA", at positions 355 to 509 of the family's 1533-position model. The record is from RNAcentral.